UUCAAACAAUGUUAUGUUUAUUACCAUUAAAUUUGCAUCCAUCGAGUAGCAACUGCAGAGGCAGAGGUGGUGCAAGCUACCCACAAUGCUGCCUUCUCAAGGUGCUUUAACACAGAGCCUGGAUGACCAACUCAGUGGGCGAGAUGGUCAUUCAGUCUCAUGCCCAUUCAAUCCUUGGCUCCC
This 183-nucleotide small RNA is filed under the name Gopherus agassizii (Agassiz's desert tortoise). RNAcentral describes it as "TUC338 (ENSGAGG00000006870.1)". Lineage: Eukaryota; Metazoa; Chordata; Testudines; Testudinidae. The record is from RNAcentral.